AGCAUCUGUCGCAAUUAGCGAUCUUUGUCGCCAGCCUUUUUUCCUCCUUCCAAGCAUGUUUCUCAGCGCCUGUGAGGCUUAAAACAUCGACGAACUUGCUCUGCCGGCUAAGCCUUGGCUAACCUUGGUCUUUUUACCAACAAUGCACAACAUCACACGUUAUACACACAAAUUGAGACCUCCAUAAAGUCAAGAAAAGUACGCCUUGUCUGUGGAGAGUUUCAUAUUUUGGUUCGCAGGCUGUAUAGCAACACACGUGACGUGUUGUGAGGACAGCACACAAGCAGAAUACAGCUUGAUGAAAGCCCCUUCAUCAAUGACAAGGUUGUGCAAAAGAUGACAAUUGUGCCCACUCUCAACCUGACCGUCAGAUGCACCGUGUACAAUGAGUUUGGUAUGGACACGUGGUACAUAACUGUGUCUCCUCGUAAGUACGGCACAAUCUGUCAGACACUGUCAUUCACUAACCGACUCUCAUCUUGCUUUCCUGCCACCCUCGACACAGCUAACCAACUCUGACCAGAUGUGACACAAAUCGUGCUCAUUUUCACUUUCUUUUAUAGCUUUCUUUUUCUAUGACUAGAAAUUUUUGGCAGGGGAAAAAUGCAAGGAAUGAAACACAAUCGGCAAAAGUUUUAAGGCAUAACAAACACAGGAAGUGACCAUGGAAGAAAAUGUUGCAUUAUCUCUUCAGGUGAUCCCAAAAGCCUUUGUCCCUUCCUGUUAGGUUAUUUCAUUGUGAUGUAUAAAAUGAUUAACUAAUUGGCUGCCCUUCCCAGUUCAAAUGAAUUGGACUUGAAUCACAGUCAAUGAGUUAAAUUAUGGAGUAAAAAACUGUGUAGAGAAUGUAAAAAAAAAUAAAUAAAUCAAAGGUAAUGCUGGGGGCCCACUGAUCACAACUUUCUGCCCAAUCACCGAUUUUUGAAAAAGUCUGACGAACCCAUCUUGACUUUUGCUAAUCCAGAUUGUUUUCAUUCACUUUGUGCACCUAUGACAUUUUAUUGUAAAAUGGUGACCAUUAUGAAUGAAAAAAUGUUUUUAACUGUUCUGAAGAAGAAAAAAAAAUCUUUCCAAAUUCAAAAAUUUUAAAUCCAAUGCUUUCUUCUACACUGUAAUUUCAUUACAA
Molecule: long non-coding RNA, 1126 nt
Organism: Corythoichthys intestinalis (scribbled pipefish)
Lineage: Eukaryota; Metazoa; Chordata; Actinopteri; Syngnathiformes; Syngnathidae
Exons: 3
Source: RefSeq, a predicted model, not a curated record